GCUAAACUACUGGCCGGAGACCGAUAGCGCAAAGUUAGAGUGAUCGAAAGAUGAAUAAGCACUUUGAAAAGAGAGUUAAAAAGCACGUGAA
This 91-nucleotide ribosomal RNA is filed under the name Aspergillus oryzae. RNAcentral describes it as "partial large subunit ribosomal RNA". It matches the Rfam family "Eukaryotic large subunit ribosomal RNA", at positions 315 to 403 of the family's 3401-position model. The record is from RNAcentral. Lineage: Eukaryota; Fungi; Ascomycota; Eurotiomycetes; Eurotiales; Aspergillaceae.